AUGAACUGCCCAAGUCAGAUGCAUCCCCUGACCCUCCCCCUCGCAAAUUUGAAAAAUCUAAGCAACUCCAUCGAAAUUAUGAGCACUUGCGUCUUGAGAAGCAAGCAACAUCGAAAAAACGAAUCCUAUGCACCAGUCACUAGGAUUUGGUCGUGUGUAUCCCCUUACAACGACUCAAUCCCGCCUACCCCCAGCACAAACCCACCCCUCCCCUCCCCUCACCAUAGCAACGCCACGCCCUCCAAAAGCAUUCACGACGCGGAGCCCGAGGACGCCAUGGACAACCUCAGCGAGAAAAAUAGGGGAGCAGGGGAGGAGGAAAUAGCGGUUUACCUCCGCCUGCACCCGGCGACUCGCGGCGCUCGCGGACAGCCUCCCACACCGGCGACUCCACGCCGGAUCCACCACUGCAGCACCCCGCCUCGCCGCGCCGUUGCUAGAGGAGAGGAAAGGGAGAGGGAGAGGAGUUCAAAUGAAAUCUGCGGGGGAUCUAACAGACAGAAACUCGCGCUUGGUGGAGGGGGCUUGAGGGUCCUGGUCGUUCACCGGUUGAAAAGAGAAGAGACGGGAGGUCGGUUCCUUCUGCCUCGUACUACCGCCGUAACCCUAACCCUAACCCCUAGAGCAGAUCCAGCUAGCCGCAGUACGAGCGUCACCGGCGUCUCCUCCGCCCCCUACCUCAAAAAAGAUAAAGCCGGAGAAACUGGAGGUAGGUUCUUUCCGCCUCGUCGUAACACCCUAAGCCAUACAUCAGAUCUAGCCCGCCGCAAUGCGAGCGUCGUCGGGAUCUCCUCCUAUCCCGACCUCGAAGGGGGAGGGGGUCUCUAUGCGAUGAUGGUCUCAUGGUGUGACCAAUUCCUUGAUAUUGAUAUUGAUAUUGAGGAGGAAGGGGAUAGAUCCGUUCCUCCCUUGUUGAUGAUCCACUUUCCCCUUUCAGGUCUUUUUGAGAGAGCAUGGGGAAAUAAUCGCCUAUAUCCUCAAGCUUUAGAUGACUGUUGUCCGUAUCGUGCAUACCUCCAGAAGUUCUGCGAUCAUAAUGCUCCUCGUUAUCAUGAUCCCGAUGCCUACAAGUUGGAAAUUAGAUUGAAGUCUGAGUGGCUGUACAAGCACACCCAUGUCCCCCAUGAUGAGAUCAGUCUGAGUGACAAUAUCCAAAACUGCGCUUAUGAACUUAUCCGUUCCAACAGCGGUGAAGGAGAUUCUCCUAUUUCCAUGAUCGCUGCCACAUGUGUUGCGAAGGAGAGCGAGUUGAUCGUUGAGAGGCUGAGCUGUCAUCCCAGUCUUCUGGACCCUGAAGAAUCACCCCACGAGAGCACACAGAUACGGAUGUUUGCCUUAAGUUGCAUGAAAGGUUCUCAGGCUUGUUCUGAUGCUGCUCUUCUGGUUAAAAAAGCUGCCCUGCUGGGCAUUACAAUUGAAGCUGGCUUGAUGACUCGGAACCUGAGGGAUAAGUAUUAUGACUCCAACGUAUCCUACCUGAACAGAUUGAUCCGGCGCUUUGCCUUAGAAGUUGUAAGGCAAAAAUUUGACGGAUCUCUUGAACAUUCUGCUCAUGAUGAUUAUCGGUAUGAUUUUGUUGCUAGACUUGAAGAAGAUGCUGAGAAUCAUUGUAGGGACAGCCUUGUAAACUCUGAUCCAGCUUCUGAGGAGAAAGGAAAUGUUGCAUCAUGUGCCUCCACAUGCAGCAACGGAAACUGAG
This 1699-nucleotide ribosomal RNA is filed under the name Triticum aestivum (bread wheat). Its description in RNAcentral is "partial small subunit ribosomal RNA". The record is from RNAcentral. Lineage: Eukaryota; Viridiplantae; Streptophyta; Magnoliopsida; Poales; Poaceae.